CAGGCUGCAACUCGCCUGCAUGAAGUCGGAAUUGCUGUAAUCGCAGAUCAGCAUGCUGCGGUGAAUACGUUCCCGGGCCUUGUACACACCGCCCGUCACACCAUGGGAGUCGGUAACACCCGAAGUCGGUAGCCUAACCGUAAGGAGGGCGCCGCCAAAGGUGGGAUUGAUGACUGGGGUGAAGUCGUAACAAGGUACC
RNAcentral lists this ribosomal RNA (199 nucleotides) under uncultured bacterium. Its description in RNAcentral is "partial 16S ribosomal RNA". It matches the Rfam family "Bacterial small subunit ribosomal RNA", at positions 1301 to 1500 of the family's 1533-position model. The record is from RNAcentral.